GUCCUGGCUGUAAACGGUGCGCGUUUGCUGUAAAAGGAAUCGACCCCUUUUGUGGCGAAGCCAACGCGUUAAACGCGCCGCCUGGGGAGUACGGUCGCAAGAUUAAAACUCAAAGAAAUUGACGGGGCCUGCACAAGCGGUGGAGUAUGUGGCUCAAUUCGAUGCAACGCGAAGAACCUUACCUGGCCUUGACAUGCAAGUAGUAGGACCCCGAAAGGGGGACGAGGUAGCAAUACCAGCUUGCACAGGUGCUGCAUGGCUGUCGU
RNAcentral lists this ribosomal RNA (266 nucleotides) under uncultured bacterium. RNAcentral's name for it is "partial 16S ribosomal RNA". It matches the Rfam family "Bacterial small subunit ribosomal RNA", at positions 793 to 1055 of the family's 1533-position model. The record is from RNAcentral.